AAUUCAACCCAUUCUCACUCCAAAGGCGUCAAAAACCGAAGCAUGGUCAAGCGCCCCUAGCGUCACUUUUAUGACGCCAAAUGUGCCUCUCGGCGUCGACUAUCGAAGCACUACGACCUUCAUUGCUUUCAGUGGGAAACUUUUGGCGUCAGAAUUCGACACGAGGACAUGAGAUGUUUAUCGCUAUGAAAUCACGUUCAAGAAGUCUCAUUCAGCACACAUCGCGCGAUACUUGCUAUCAGUUCCACAGUUUGGCUGAAAAGACGUAAAGGCAGUCAGCCCAGUGGUGUUUCUGGAGAGGGAUUCCUUCAGAAAUGGAGAAGACAGAAAGCUGCGGAGGCAGAUAUUUGCAGCAUGUUCGAGUGAGCAUGAUGACCACGAGUGUGUGUCGAACUUUUCAUGACCUGAUGACUGUGUUUCCCAAUCCUGAUCCUGGAGAACCCCAGCACUGCACGGUUUUGGUGUCUCUCUUAUCUGCCUUGGAGUCUUCACUGAUGAGCUGAUGAGUUGAAUCAGGUGUGUUUGAUCAGGGAGACAUCUCAAAUGUGCAGUGUUGGGCUUCUCCAGGACCAGGAUUGGGAGCCACUGCCUUAUGGGACACUUAUGUGUUUAAAGAGAUUUUUAAUAUCUAAUUAUCAAUAUUUCACAUACUGUACUAAACACAUCACAGUCUUAAUAAUCCAGUUUAACACUUGUAUGAUAUUGUACAAGCCCCAGGACGGUCUCAUCUGACACUAUCAAAAGAAUUCAUAUGACUAUAGCUUGUUAUUAAUUACUUGCUUUCAAUAAUGG
Carassius gibelio (silver crucian carp) is the source of this 792-nucleotide long non-coding RNA. RefSeq lists it as uncharacterized. NCBI's taxonomy places the organism in Eukaryota, Metazoa, Chordata, Actinopteri, Cypriniformes, Cyprinidae. The transcript has 3 exons. The record is from RefSeq and is a predicted model, not a curated record.